Globicephala melas (long-finned pilot whale) is the source of this 8588-nucleotide RNA transcript. It is a transcript of the gene named potassium voltage-gated channel subfamily B member 1, with no coding region annotated. Lineage: Eukaryota; Metazoa; Chordata; Mammalia; Artiodactyla; Delphinidae. The record is from RefSeq and is a predicted model, not a curated record.
GGCGCCCGGGCGACCGCGGCGAUGCGCGGUCCCUGGCCCCGGGAGGCGGCCACCCUGGGGCCGUCGGGAUGGAGGUGAGAAGACGGCCGUGACGCGCGCCCGCGCGGCCCCCUGCACCCCCAGCAGCCCACAGCGCUCCCUGCCCCCCUCCCCCGCGGCGGCUGGCCUUGCCCUCCAGUGACAGCGGCCUGGGGGGGCAGGGGGGGCGGGGGCGGCCGGACCAGCGAUGCCGGCGGGCAUGACGAAGCAUGGCUCACGCUCCACCAGCUCGCUGCCACCGGAGCCCAUGGAGAUCGUGCGCAGCAAGGCGUGCUCGAGGCGCGUCCGCCUCAACGUUGGUGGGCUGGCGCACGAGGUGCUCUGGCGCACCCUGGACCGCCUGCCCCGCACGCGGCUGGGCAAGCUGCGUGACUGCAACACGCACGACUCGCUGCUGGAGGUGUGCGAUGACUACAGCCUCGACGACAAUGAGUACUUCUUCGACCGCCACCCGGGCGCCUUCACCUCCAUCCUCAACUUCUACCGCACCGGACGGCUGCACAUGAUGGAGGAGAUGUGCGCGCUCAGCUUCAGCCAAGAGCUCGACUACUGGGGCAUCGACGAAAUCUACCUGGAGUCCUGCUGCCAGGCCCGCUACCACCAGAAGAAGGAGCAGAUGAAUGAGGAGCUCAAGCGCGAGGCAGAAACCCUACGGGAGCGGGAGGGCGAGGAGUUCGAUAACACGUGCUGCGCCGAGAAGAGGAAAAAGCUCUGGGACUUACUGGAGAAGCCCAAUUCCUCUGUGGCCGCCAAGAUCCUUGCCAUAAUUUCCAUCAUGUUCAUCGUCCUCUCCACCAUUGCCCUGUCUCUCAACACACUGCCGGAGCUGCAGAGCCUUGAUGAGUUUGGCCAGACCACAGACAACCCCCAGCUGGCCCACGUGGAGGCCGUGUGCAUUGCAUGGUUCACCAUGGAGUACCUGCUGCGGUUCCUCUCCUCCCCUAAAAAGUGGAAGUUCUUCAAGGGCCCGCUCAACGCCAUUGACUUGUUGGCCAUCCUGCCAUAUUAUGUCACCAUCUUCCUCACUGAAUCCAACAAGAGCGUGCUGCAGUUCCAGAAUGUCCGCCGCGUGGUCCAGAUCUUCCGCAUCAUGCGUAUUCUCCGCAUUCUUAAGCUCGCACGUCACUCCACUGGCCUCCAGUCCUUGGGCUUCACUCUGCGGAGGAGCUACAAUGAGCUGGGCUUGCUCAUCCUCUUCCUUGCCAUGGGCAUCAUGAUCUUCUCCAGCCUUGUCUUCUUUGCCGAGAAGGAUGAGGAUGACACCAAGUUCAAAAGCAUCCCAGCCUCUUUCUGGUGGGCCACCAUCACCAUGACGACCGUUGGGUAUGGAGACAUCUACCCCAAGACUCUCCUGGGGAAAAUUGUGGGGGGUCUUUGCUGCAUUGCAGGGGUCCUGGUGAUUGCUCUUCCCAUCCCCAUCAUUGUCAAUAACUUCUCUGAGUUCUACAAGGAGCAGAAGAGGCAGGAGAAAGCAAUCAAGCGGAGAGAGGCUCUGGAGAGAGCCAAGAGAAAUGGCAGCAUCGUAUCCAUGAACAUGAAGGAUGCAUUCCCCCGGAGCAUCGAGGUGAUGGACAUUGUGGUUGAGAAAAGUGGAGAGAACAUGGGUCAGAAAGACAAAGUGCAAGAUAAUCACUUGUCUCCCAACAAAUGGAAAUGGACAAAGAGGACACUGUCCGAAACCAGCUCAAGUAAGUCCUUUGAAACCAAGGAGCAGGGAUCCCCUGAGAAGGCCAGAUCAUCUUCUAGUCCUCAGCACCUGAACGUCCAGCAGUUGGAAGACAUGUACAAUAAGAUGGCCAAGACACAGUCUCAACCCAUCCUCAAUACUAAGGAGCCAGCAACACAGAGCAAACCAAAGGAAGAACUUGAAAUGGAGAGUAUCCCCAGCCCCGUAGCCCCUCUGCCCACUCGUACAGAAGGGGUCAUUGACAUGCGAAGCAUGUCAAGCAUUGAUAGCUUCAUUAGCUGUGCCACAGACUUCCCUGAAGCCACCAGAUUCUCCCACAGCCCUUUGGCAUCACUCCCCAGCAAAACCGGAGGUGGCAUGGCCCCAGAGGUUGGCUGGCAGGGAGCUCUGGGUGCCACUGGUGGUAGGUUUGUGGAGACCAACCCCCCCGCUGAUGCCAGCCAUCCCUCUGCUUUCUUCAUUGAGAGCCCAAAGAGUUCCAUGAAGACCACCAACCCCUUGAAGCUUCGAGCACUUAAGGUCAACUUCAUGGAGGGGGAUCCCAGACCAUUAGUCCCCGUUCUAGGGAUGUACCAUGACCCUCUUAGGAACCGGGGGGGUGCUGCGGCAGCCGUUGCUGGGCUGGAGUGUGCCACACUCUUGGACAGGCCUGUGCUGAGUCCAGAGUCCUCCAUCUACACCACAGCAAGUGCUAGGACACCCCCCCGGUCGCCAGAGAAACACACAGCAAUAGCGUUCAACUUUGAAGCAGGUAUCCACCAGUACAUUGAUGCGGACACAGAUGAUGAGGGGCAAGUGCUCUACAGUGUGGACUCCAGCCCUCCCAAGAGCCUCCACGGGAACACUAGUCCCAAGUUCAGCGUCGGGACAAGAUCAGAGAAGAACCACUUUGAAAGCUCCCCCUUACCCACCUCCCCUAAGUUCUUAAGGCAGAACUGUAUUUACUCUACAGAAGCAUUGACUGGAAAAACUCCCAGUGGUCAGGAAAAGUGCAAGCUUGAGAACCACAUCUCCCCCGACGUCCGCGUGUUGCCGGGGGGAGGAGCCCAUGGAAGCACACGGGAUCAGAGCAUCUGAACCACCUCCACACGGAGGAGAGACUUGUGGCAGGGUCCAAAGAGGAGUGCUGUUCAGCUUACCUGCCGUGGAGCUUUUCUGCAUGACCUCUGAAACAGAAAGGCUUUGUAAAGCCCCCAGAAAGAAGAGAGACCAGAGAAAUCUCCCUUAAAACCUUGAGAGCCGUUAACGGGUCCAUCAGAGUGAAGUUGGCCAAGCCACAGGGUAUGGCGCCUCCUUGUAACAGCUCCACGGCCCUCUUUGGAAGAUGACAAGAGCAGAACUCACAGCCACCACUACCACGUUCUAGACAUAACCAAGGCCACCUACUCCCCAUUCUUCUCUCGUGGCUUUCCAUCACAGCCUCUGAGGGCAAGAUCGCCAUCCCUCCUGGCUUCAGCUGGAGAAGGAUGCCGGAACAAGUGGCUGGUGUUAAAAGAGUGGGUUGACCAAUUUGGUUUUGGGUGUUGCCUGGCCACCUCUAGGAACUUCUGUCCAUCACCUGCUGGAUGGAUCCCACUGUUAGAAGGCUACAGGGAAUGCUUGUGUCAUGGGGAAAACUGCACCAUAAGCCACGAUCCCAGCGCAAAACCCUUCCUCAAAUGUCUUCAUUGACUUCAGUAUUCCGUAGUACCUGAGAUUUUAUUUUGAGAUAUCAUCAGGGUUCUACCAGGGACAGUGUCAACAUCUUGCACUUUAAAACAAGCAUGAUUUCCCGUGGGCCACUUGUUGGGACUACAGUUGGGUUUUUGCUCCAGGCAUGUGUCUGGCCACGUCUCAAGUAACACGACCCCGGGCUUCAGCCUCCAGUCAAGUAACUUUGAAUCCAAUGUGGUGAGAAGCCUCUAGCAUGUGAUCCUUUGAGAAAGGACUUUUUCUACUGCUGCGAAGUUGGCAGGCGUUAAAAGGGGGCUUCCCCUGACUCCCCCAGCAGGACAGUGGAGAACCUGCAGCCCUGAGCUAAAAUUUCCUCGCCUCCCACUGCUUAUAUGACAGCAUCCAAAUGCUUUCACUCAACCCAGGGCGACUCAAACCAGCCCUGGCUACACCCAGAAAUAAGAGUUACCUCUGCAUUUUCUGUCGCCAUUUUUCUGGCUCUAGAAGUAUCUGAUGCGUGACUACAUCAUAGGAUGUCCACGCAUCUCAGAGUAGUCUAUUUUUCUGUUCGGAUAAAAUAUAUAUAUAUGUAUUUUUAGCAAAUUUAUAAUUGGGCCAUUGAGUCUAAUUUCUUCUUUUGUAAUACGGAAUAACAUCUUAGGGGUUUUAUUGUUGGUCAUAAUCGCAGCUGAUAUCUUCUGGUCUCCUUCAUUUCCUCCUGUUGCUCCUUGGAUCGUUUUUUUUCUUCUUCUUUUCGUUUCUGAUUUCCUGGAGGUGGGGAAAGACUUUGGGGUCUGACUUCCUCAUGCAGGCAUUUCCUGACACAAGGCCUAGAAUCUGUUGACCUGUUACUUUCCUCAUUCUGUCUGUUCUAUUUAUUGUUCUUAAAACUCCAGAACACAGAUGCAGGAGUGAAACCAGGGGAAGCAGGGCUACAGAUGGCCCUUAAAAUCAGGAUGGGAUGUGGGAUGGUUUAGCUCAUCCUCCACGCCGUUCCGGGGAUCUAAAGGGACUGAGUUUGUUCAUUUCCAGAGAUCUUGGAAUCUAAAAUCUCGUGCGAGAAAACCUCCCUCUGACAUUCCUGAGAUUCAGAAGACGCCUAAACCCCUCUUGGCUGGCCUGUUGCCACGCCCAGCGCCCUGCUCUCCUGUGACAUCAAUUGGAUCUGAAGGUCAGGGCACUUUCAGGUUCUUGCGAAACUUAGAGAAAAUCCUGGGCCUCAGAUCUCAUCAACUUUUUAUCAGCUCUUCAUUUCAAUCCAUUUCCAACAGGCUUACCAAAAAACAGUGGCCAGACAAGCUUGCAGCCAAAUCCUGAGAAGAUGCGUCCCCAGAAUCUGCCAUCUCAUCUCCCCUUCCCUUUCCAGUUGCCUGGCUCCAUAGAGCCAGACAUUCGUGGCAAGGGCAGUGGUAUUUUUCCAGCUUCCUCCUAUCCAGGCCUCGGGGAGUGUCUGGACUAUCUUGAUAAUUAAUUCCACCAGGCAGUUUCCAGGCCUCGGGUAGGCAGAGGACAUCUCACGAAGCAGGAUCUUCAGCAGGAAAUGAUUCUCCAUCCAUCAGCUCAUGCAGGAAGAUGACGUAAGCCCAGAUCAUCUCCAUCUUGCAUCUAUAGAUUUUCAUAUCCCACCUGCCUCUCCCACAGCUACAGGGCUCUGGCCUCUGCCCAGGUCAGAGAUCUGAACCAAAUCAGGACCCCCAGAUGGCAGUGAGCCAUCCCUGUUGGGUCAACCCCAAGAGGAAACCAUCCGAAGUACAAAUUCUGGACUGAGAUUCUAAUCAGCGUUUUCCCACCGCCCCCAAAUUCCUGGUAAUCUGGUUUGAACCAGAGCCAACUAAAACAGACAAGAUUUUUUUAAACUACUGCACAAGAAGAACAACAACAACAAAAUUGUCUCCCAGUCAUUUGCUAGGUUUGAUGCCCAGAUAAGCAAACACCCUUGCCCAUGGCCGUUUUCAUCUAGAAGUUGUGUAGUCUGGGUUUCCAUCCACUGACCUUGAUAUUGGCUUAACCUGGAAUUUCUCCUGAACUCCCCAAAAUGACGUCUUGAAGACAUGGAUUUGGAAGGGACUCUGUUAAUCGAGUGACCCCUCAUCUUCACUGCUAACUCACUCUCCAUUCCUUCUUGCAAAGAUCCUGGAAAGAUCUAAAGGUUGGCGGGGAAAGGGAUGCAGUUCACCUGAGGGAGAGCCCACCUGCCCACAUUAUGUCUGCAUGCCAGUCUCUGAAAGUUUCUCCUGCAUGAAAGGGACAGGGCAGUCAAUUUCGGCUCAAAUUAAGGAAGCACUUCUAAUAGGUGGGCCUGCCUCACCAUGGAACUCGAUGCCAUGUUGGGUAAUGAGCUCUCUGACAGCACAGGUGUUUAAAGACAGGCUAGUUGAUGUACAAAACGGAUGUUGCUGAGGGAAGCUAGCACUGCAUGCUGACCAAACUGAACGUCUGGAGAAGUUCUCUCUCCAGCACCUCCGCCCCACCCACUUCCAAUGUAUGCAUGUGUGCGGGUGUGUGGUUUGAACAUCUGAGCACAGGCUCAAGCAACUGGGGCACAGGCAGAGAGCACAGUUAGCAGAAACUCAGAUUCUAGAAUGUGGAGCUUUCUGGGGGAAUGUCAGGGAGGGAAGUGGCAGCAGGAUACCCUGAUCCUCUGUGCUCCCCAUCUUGGACACUUUUAGUGACUCUGUUGGUCGCUUAUCCACCCCAGUUCCCUGACAGGGACCACAUGUGUGGGAUGAGGCUCGAGCUCCCCUCCCCCAGGCCAGCCAAGGAGCAGCCCCCCUGUUUGGGCGGCCUUCUCACGGUGCUUCAGCCCUUCUGCCCAGGCCCUGGGCCCUCGUAGGCCUCAGGCUUUCUGUACAUGAGAUACAAUUUUCCUUUACCCACUCGCCGGCUGCCUAAUGAACAAACUGGCCAGGCAAUAACACAUGGUACCAUCCCUAAAGGGCUUUUUUUUUUUUUUUUGGCAAAUUAAACAGGAAAUCCCAUUCAAGACCCUUGAGAGUCCCCACCCAAUGAAGUAAGUCCAGAAGGGCCAAAAGAAAGAGACAGCCGCAAUCUAGUUUGACAACUAAACGAGGCUUCGGCUACCUGCAGGUUGAAUGCUCGCUCUUCCCACCUCUGUAGCCCCUUCCCAAGUGAGUCUGGAUACCGCAUGCUCCAAGGACAGCAUGUGACGAAAGAGGUUUUAAAGUUCCAGCUAACUGUGUAUGGUGGGCUUGGAGGAAGUGAGGCUUCAUCCUCAGGGUGACCCCAAGUCCAGGAAGUCUCAGGUUGCUUCAUUAUAGGAUGAGGCAAAGCCAUAGGUUUUGAUGGAUAGUCUGAGCAGCUGCCUUCCUCCCAAAAUUAAACAAAAACCCAGUUUCCGAUAUCCCCCUCUGAGGCUCUGCCCUACAGAAAUAGCUCAAGUUGCUGGCUGCAAUGAGAUGACGAUUCUGGAAAAUGAAGAAAACUCCCAAUUCUGUCCCAUUAGGAUGCUCUCCAGAGUCCUGCGUGGAUUGUUGCAUACUUCCUGCCUCCCUAAACUAAUCCAGGUUUGGAAAACAAGGAGGGAAGCGCAGAAGAAGAUGCCCAUGAGGGGCUUCCCUGGUGGCGCAGUGGUUAAGAAUCUGCCUGCCGAUGCAGGGGCCACGGGUUCAAGCCCUGGUCCAGGAAGAUCCCACAUGUCACGGAGCAACUAAGUGUGCCAUGUGCCACAACUACUAAGCCUGCGCUCUAGAGCCUGUGAGCCACAACUACUGAGCCUGCAUGCCACGACUACUGAAGCCCCUGUGCCUAGAGCCCACGCUCCGCAACAAGAGAAGCCACCUCAAUGAGAAGCCCGCGCACCGCAGUGAAGAGUAGCCCCCGCUCGCCUCAACUAGAGAAAGCCCACGCGCAGCAAUGAAGACCCAACGCAGCUAAAAAAUAAAUAAAUAAAUAAAUAAAAUAAAUAAAUUAAAAAAAAAAGAAGAUGCCCCUGAGAUCUGGACUUCUCCACAGCGGGGCUCAGGCUCCCUGGUCUUCACCAGGGCUUUGGGGUCUCUCUCUGAUGAGCUUGACAUCUGAGCUCCGGAUGCCUGCAGGGUGGAGAAGAGGACAAUCAGGAGCUGCUGGGCUGUGCAGCUGUGGCCCCUUUGCCCUCCAGGCCUGUCCUGGCUUCAAUCCAAGGUCAAGGAACUCAGGGUUAUUUCCCAACAUAUGACUCUGGCACAUAGUGGUCACCCAACCCGUGUUUGGCUUUUUUUUUGAGUGGUUGUGUAAAUGAGUGACUUCUGAGUGAAUGAAUGAAUGAGUGAAUGUGUGAGUGGAGAGAGGCGUUCAUUCGUUCUCACCUGGUUUGAGGUUUUCCUAACUGGGAAGGAAGGAGAAAUGGGAGGUUCCUCCCACUGAAGCCCGGAAGCCCCAUCAGUGUCAUCUGUUCUUUGACUCAAUUGGUGGUCAAGAUGACGGUCAAAUUUUCUGCCCUAAGGGUCUUCUCAGAGCUACACUUCCAGGGGGCUACGGGGACAUCCCCAGCCUCUUUUUGACCCUCCUAUCCUGCAUUUUCAGCCUCGCGCUCUAGUUUAGCUCACACUAGCCCACGGGGGACUACAAGGUGGUUUUCCAAUAGGCUAGGCCAAGGGUCCAAGGUAACAGUUCCCCCUGGUCUGGGACUUGCUGGGGGCAGGGAUGUGGGAGCUGAUAUCUGGAAACUGGAUCGCAUUCCCUGAGCCGUGGGAGCUGAGCUGGAAAACAGGGCCACCCUGUCCUCCAGCUUUGAGAACCAAUGGUCUUCCUUUUUUCUGAGCCCAACGCCCCCCCAUGGUAGCAUGCUCCCUGGUCCCAUCAGCUAAGACCCUCUGUCUCUCCCAGGAACCAUGGUGUGAGGUUGAGGCUUUUCUGCCAGCAAAGCCAUUCUGAUCGCCCCACCCAUAAUGGGGGCCAAUCACAUUAGCCAUAAAUGACCAAUGUCCUUAGCCACUCUUUUCUCGGGGUCACGUUCAUGGGUUCUGUUCAUCUCUGGUCAGUUGAUGUCUCUAGUCCUUCCUGUAAAGGUGAAGAUGAGCAUCACACACACACACACACACACACACACACGGAAACCAAACCACACAAAACCCAGUGUCUUUUUAUGCAUGUGAUGAGAUGACAUUGUGACCUCCAGCUGCUGUCCUGUCUUGUAAAAUACGUCCAAAUGUUUAAGAGUUGCUAAGCAAAUGGUCCCUUAAUGAGUCUGCAGAGUUCAAUAAAAAAAGGU